UUCUCCUCACUUUCUCUCACCAGAGCCGCCUCCCCCCACGCAGCCGCCGCACGGCGACGGCCGCCAUGAGAGCCCUCGUCUCCCUCUUCCGGAUCGCCCGCCGGCUUCCCGCCCCUCUCGCCGCCGCUAGGGCCCCAACACCGCUCCUCCUCCGGCACCUCCAUGGCGACGCCCCGCCGCCGCCGCCACCCCAGGACCCGCCGCCCUUCGUCUCCCGCAUCCUCGAAUCGGAGCCGAGCCUGACCCCGAGCACCGAGGCGGAACCGGCACCCGACCCGUUCCUCGAUGAGUUCCUCGCGCGCUUCGUGGCCGCCUUCCGCCCGGAACUCGCGGCGGCCUUCCCCGACUACGACCGCGCCGUGCUCGACGAGAUGCUCCGCCUCGUCGCGGACGCCGUGGUGUGCCGCGUCACUGGGGCCGACCCGGGGCCUGACGCCGCCGAGCUCAGCGACGACCUCUGGGCGGCCGUGUGGAAGGUCAGCGCCUCGGUGCAGGAGGCUAUGCGCCGUGACCAGGUCCGCGCCGACCUCCGCCACUAUCUCCACUGCGACGAGGUCAAGGAGAUGACGCGGUUCGCCGUCGACGUCGGCAUCCGCGGCUCCAUGCUCCGGGAGUUCCGCUUCAAGUGGGCCCGCGAGAAGCUCGACGAGGUCGAGUUCUACCGCGGCCUCGAUGACAUGCGCGCCAAGGCCGAAGCCGCCGCCAACCCGGCCCCUGCGCCGGUGCGGAGGCUGACCGCUUUGCCGAAGAGGAAGGGGGAGGUGAAGUUCACGAUGUACGGGUUGGACAUGUCUGACCCGAAGUGGGCCGAGGUUGCGGAGCGGACGGCCGAGGCUGAGGCACAUUUUGUGCCUCAGGAAGCCAAGCCUGUAGAAGGGAAAGCGAAGAAGGCCGAGGAGCAGCUGCUGCGGGUCGACCCGAGGAGAGGAGAUCCAGUGCCUGCCAUGGAGGAGUGGAAGGAGGAUCUCCGGCCAAAGCGAGUUGACUGGAUGGCGCUGCUUGAGCGGGUUAAGGCACGCAAUGUUGAGUUGUACCUCAAGGUUGCUGAAAUUCUGUUAGCUGAAGAAUCUUUCGAGGCAAACAUCCGAGAUUACUCAAAGUUAAUUGAUCUUCAUGCUAAAGCAAAUCAUGUGGAAGGUGCUGAGAUAAUACUUGGUAAAAUGAAAGAGAAAGGUGUUGCACCUGAUAUCCUCACAUCUAUCACGUUAGUCCACAUGUAUAGCAAGGCAGGCAAUCUAGAUCGAGCCAAGGAGGCUUUUGAGUUUAUUCGGAAUGAGGGUUUCAAACCAGAUCUGAAACUCUUCAGUUCGAUGAUUAAAUGCUAUAUCAGUCAUGGAGAACCAGGACAAGCAGAUAAUUUGCUAAACACUAUGAAGGGCAUGGAUAUCAAAGCCACCAGAGAAAUGUACACGGAUGUGAUACGGGCAUAUGCUCAGCAAGGCAUGGUGGCUGCUGCCCAGAACGUUCAUAGGGCGAUGCACUUUGCCGGAAUUGAGUCUACGCCAGAGUUGUUCACAAUGAGUAUAGAAGCAUAUGGACGCAUUGGUGAUCCUGAGAAUGCCUGUCUCGUGUUUCAACACAUGAGGAGAUCUGGACACGAACCGGAUGAUAGUUCUAUUGCUGGUGUGGUGGCUGCGCACAUGAAGAAGAACCAAUUAGACCAGGCUUUGCUCUGGCUGCUGAGUUUAGAGAAGGAAGGAUUUAAACCUGGUGUCAAGACGAACCUCGUGUUACUGGAUUGGCUAUCUAUGUUGCAGCUAGUUCCGGAGGCUGAACAGCUUGCGCGGAAGAUAAAACAGCUGGGAGAAGAACCCAUAGAAGUCCAUGUGUUCCUUGCUGAUAUGUAUGCAAAGUCACGCCAGGAAGAGAAAGCCCGCAGAUCCCUCAAGAUGUUGGAAGAGAAGAAGAAACUAUUGAAGGCUGAUCAGUUCGAGAGGAUUAUAAGAGGCCUUCUGGACGGUGGAUUCUCAGAGGAGGCCAAUAAAUACUACAAAAUGAUGAAAUCAUUUGGCUUUGAACCAUCAGAAACAAUCGAGGUUGGUGUUAAGGCCAGUUUAAGGAUGAGGGGUGGGCUUCGUCCCACUGGUAGGCAUUGAGGCUAGGGCUUGUAUGCUGGCAGUGAUCUGCUGGGCACGCAAGCAGGCAGUGAUUCUGGUCAGAGAACCUUGGAGGUAGCACUGACAACGGCACAACCAAAUUGACCAAACUUUCAAAUGUUGGAAAAUAGGUUGGCCGAAUUCUUUUUUUGUUAUCCAUCGUCUCGAGGAAUGAAAAUGCUUCCACAGAUUAUAAAGUUGAUAGGUGCUGGUCUCAUGAUUUUGUUGUUUGAAGCGAUCAGGAUUUGGACUUGUUUUUGGUGAUUGUAAUGCCUUUUCGGCUUCCAGACAGACAUACCAUGAUGCCCGAUACAUGAUGGGCUAAAACAGAGGCAACAUUAGCUCGGGGACAUCGUUAAAUCGCGGCAAAGUCACAGGACAUAAAAAAGGUAGCUUUGCCAUAGCACACUCUUCAACCAUGGUAAUAUCCGCCGGACACUUAUACUCUAUGUUUUAGUCAAUUUUAAUUUCACGUUCGACCUCAAGAACCGUUCCCGCCAACCUUUAUCCUUUCUAUCGCUGACUCCCUCCCUCCCCCUGACUUCUUGCGCCGCCGCCGUCCCCUUCCCGACGCGCAGGCCCCCCACCGGCGGUUGUUCCGGGGCGCAGCCCCACCCCGCUGGGGGUCCGUUACGGCGCGCCGGCCGCCCGCUGGAGGCCCCUCCCUGCGGGGGCGCAGAUUGCCUACUUCCGCGUCAACUACGCCGCCGUGGUCGCCUUCUCCCUCGCGGCCUCGCUCCUGGCGCACCCCUUCUCCCUCCUCAUCCUCCUCUUCCUCACCUCAGUGGCUUCGCUCAUCAUCUCCGGGCUGCUCGUCGGGGGUGCCAUCGUCGCCGCGCACGGCGCCUGCCACAUGCCAGCCUCUUCCUCGAUGAUCCGAGCGCUGCGUCCAAUGGCAGCACCACCAGCAGGCUGCUAUCCUUCCGCGCGUCGCUCGGAUCUGGGGUUUGACGAGGAAUUCAGUAGAGAUCUGGCCCUGUAGCUACAAAGAGCUUCUCGUUCCUGUGGUACUUAACUGUGAGUAGCUAUGGAUAUGCAUAUCUGAUUUUGGUUCUAAAUUGUGUCUCGAAUAAUGCAAAGAUCUUGCGAUGUGUGGA
This is an RNA transcript of Setaria italica (foxtail millet), 3193 nucleotides long. It is a transcript of the gene named pentatricopeptide repeat-containing protein At1g01970, with no coding region annotated. Lineage: Eukaryota; Viridiplantae; Streptophyta; Magnoliopsida; Poales; Poaceae. The record is from RefSeq and is a predicted model, not a curated record. The transcript is spliced from 3 exons.